ACUGGGCACCGUGGCACGUACCUGUAGUCCCAGCUACUUGGGAGGCUGAGGCUAGAGGAUCACUUGAGUCCAGGAGUUCUGGGCUGUAGUGCACUAUGCUGAUCAGGUGUCUGCACUAAGUUUGGCAUCAAUAUGAUGACCUCCUGGGAGUGGGGGACCACCAGGUUGCCUAAGGAGGGGUGAACUGGCCCAGGUCGGAAACGGAGCAGGUCAAAAUUCCCAUGCUGAUCAGUAGUGGGAUUGCACCUGUGAAUAGCCACUGCACUCCAGCCUGGGCAACAUAGUGAGAACCUAUCUCUA
This is an unclassified non-coding RNA of Callithrix jacchus (white-tufted-ear marmoset), 300 nucleotides long. It matches the Rfam family "Metazoan signal recognition particle RNA". From Rfam's summary of the family: The signal recognition particle (SRP) is a universally conserved ribonucleoprotein. It is involved in the co-translational targeting of proteins to membranes. The record is from Ensembl. NCBI's taxonomy places the organism in Eukaryota, Metazoa, Chordata, Mammalia, Primates, Cebidae.